UUUUUGUUUAUUACUUGACCUCAUUUUUUUAAAGACAUUAGAACUUUGCCUGCCAUUAUCUUUUUUUUGUUCGACAAUUUGCUCACCACUCCACUUUACCUUGUGGUAUGCUUCUCUCUUCCCAUUUCUCCUUCUUUCUUUCUCUAUGGUGGUUCAGAAUUUCAUCGAGAAGAAGAAGCAGAAGCUUUUGGACGAAAUGGCUGCUAUCGUUCAAAGACUUAAAGGGAUUGGGGCCGUAGCUGCUGUUUCUUUAGUCAGACUCAAAGAAACACCGCAUCUCUACUCGCAGAUCUUUCUCAGAAUGAUAGAACAAUUCCGUAUCCACUUUCUGCCAUCAUUGGUGCAUAGAACAUCUGAUCCACCUUGGUCUUCUUCUUCUCUCUAUACCUCAUAACUCUGGCCUCCCUGUCCAUUUGAGUAAGCUGUGGAGGCAUCUGAAUUAGAGGACCUGAGAAGAGGUCAAUUGUCCCUUUUGUGGGUCUUCAGGUCUUGAGUGGGAGAUUGAGGCAUCACUCAAGGUAGACUGGAACAACACCAACAUCCAUGGAAGAAAAGGAAACCUCGUCACCCAAAAUCAAAAUAUACCUGUCAGGUUUUCUUGGCAUGAACUAAACUCAACAAUUUCCAAGAGUUUAGACUUGGCGGCUGUGCUGUUGGGUAUCAUUUUGGUUCCCACUUGGCUGAUACAGUUCUAAUACUAAUCAACUAUUGUGUUAGCACCUGAGAAUGAUGAGGAACUUGGGGAGUAUAGCCUACAGGCACUUCGAGAGUUUCUUUCUUGCUAAGGUGCCACAAGGAUAUUGUGUUCAGAUUUUGCAUCUUACUCUAGAAUUUCUCAGUUAUGAUCCCAAUUUCACUGAUAAUAUGGAAGAAGAUACUGAUGAUGAAAUUCAGGAGGAUGAGUAAGACAUUUCUUAUUAAUUAAUUGGAGCUUGGUAAGCCCUGAUAUUGUUAGUUAUACUUGAUAGUUUAUGCUGAAUGUAUGAUCGAUCCUUCAUUGAAUUGUAGUGAGAAUGCUUAUGAGUACACAAAUGAUGGGUUGGUUAUUCUCGGCUUUGACUGAUUUCUAUAAUGGGUUAUAGUUAUCCGCAGAUGGACGGACAUGUUCAAUACAUUAUUCAUUGCGUUGCUGCAGAUGGGCAAACCGAAAAUGUUACAAAGCGAUUAUCUGCAUUGUCGGCCUCGUUUUUGGAUUUGAAAGAAGACAAGAUCGGGCCAUUUUAGCAAUGAGAACCAAAGCUUCCUCCACUGCUUCAUUUUCAGGAUGUGGAAGCCGUGGAUCCAACAACUCCUGGAGUUCGAUGGUUGCAGGGGAAGGAGAUGUGAGAAGAUCGAUGUAGUCACCAGGAUGUUUUCCCUUAAUGAUUUCUAAUGUUAAUACUCCGAAACUAUAUACAUCGCAUUUUUCAGUCACCUUCAUAGUGAAAGCAAAUUCUGCAAGAUUACAUACAAUUCUUAACAAUCAGAUCAUGUAUGUCAAUCACUCCAAUCAGACCAGUCCAUUCGAUUUCGGACUAGGCCUAUGAGACUGUCAAAUUAAUUAGUUUUUUUUUUGUCAGAUUUAAAA
Long non-coding RNA from Ipomoea triloba (trilobed morning glory), 1567 nucleotides. RefSeq lists it as uncharacterized. NCBI's taxonomy places the organism in Eukaryota, Viridiplantae, Streptophyta, Magnoliopsida, Solanales, Convolvulaceae. The record is from RefSeq and is a predicted model, not a curated record. The transcript is spliced from 6 exons.